This 1583-nucleotide long non-coding RNA is filed under the name Homo sapiens (human). RNAcentral's name for it is "non-protein coding lnc-ZNF639-1:2". Lineage: Eukaryota; Metazoa; Chordata; Mammalia; Primates; Hominidae. The record is from RNAcentral.
GCUGGAAUUUGCUUUGUACUAGUGAUUUGAAAAAUAAUUUUCUGGAUAACGAAUUUCCAUACUAAAGCAUCAGUCACCACCAAUUCCUUAUUAAGUUAAUUCUCCUUAGUAACUUUGGUGUUAAAGUGGUAACUAUCUGAACCCAAAAUAAAUUUGUGAAGAGUAAUUUAUUCAUUCUAAAAAGAAAUUUUCUUACAUUGCUAGAAAAGAAUAGUAUCUACUAAUCUUAUUCCCAUACUUUAUGAAGGGUGAUUAUUUAGAGAGUUUUAAAAGAAAUUAACAGAACAUUUAAAAGUGUGUUCUUUGUUGUUUGUUUUUAAAUAGGCAAAUGAAUCUAACCUGACAUCUUUUUUCCCCUUGCUAGAAAUAUUGAGCUGAAUGAAUUACAUUCCAAAAAUGUAAUGAAUAGUACACAUUUUGAAUGAAAACUCAAAGUUUUCUAGUUUUUAAUAUCUUGUCUGGAGAGUGUAUCCACUACUUGAAAAAUACUGCAGUUGAAUUAUUGAUAUUUUCACCUUUACUCUUCAAAGUAAAGCUGAAAUCAGAAAUUGGAAUCAUAUUCAGCAAAUGUAAUUUCUGGUGGGUAAUUUUCUUUUUUCUUUUUAAGGCUAUUCACCAUGCUCUUCUGAAUUUUGGUUGGCUAAAAUUUGAGAAUACAGAAUUCCCACGUUUCCUGCCUACCCUGUUCAUUCUUGGUUAUGUCCAGAGUGGCAUUAUUUGUCUUUUUCUGUUUUUCAUUUUCUUUUAUAAGAGAGGCCCAGGCAGAUCUCAAACUCCUGGGCUCAAGUAAUCCACCUGCCUCAGCCUCCCAAAGUGCUGGGAUUACAGUCAUGAGCCACCACUCCCGGCCUUAUUCAUCUUUUUUUAAAUACAUUAUUUCUGAAAUUAUAUUCUAUGGCUGAUUACUGUUAUCUUUACAACUCAUCUUAUUUGGGUUUUCAGAAAGUUUCAAAAGAUUAAAGUUUUCCCAACUAACAAGGUAAGUUGCCAUGAACUAAACAUGUCCCCCUCAAAAUUCAUAUGUUCAAAUCCUAAUCCCCAGUGUGAUGAUAUCAGAAGAUGGGGCCUUUGGUAUAUGAUUAGGUCAGGAAAGUGGAGCCCUCAUGAAUGGGAUUAGUGCCGUUAGAAAAGGGAUCCCAGAGAGCGCUCACCUGUUUUCCAUGUGAGGAUACAAUGAGAAGUCAGCAGUCUGCAACCUGGAAGAGAGCCUCACCAGAACCUAACCAUACUGGCACCUUGAUCUCGGACUUCCAGCCUCCAGAACUGUGAGAAAUUUCUGUUGUUUAUAAGCCACUCAGUCUAUGGUACAUUGUUAUAGUAGCCUAUAUUGACUAAGAUAGAGUAGAUUUGUUUUGAUUCUUCCUUCCGUCUGUUCUCCAAACUCUUAAAAUAAGUUACUCCCUUCAUGCCAUAUCCCACAUCACUUGCUUGUAUACCGUGUAAAUAUUUUAUAUAUACCUGCCUGGCAUCAGUUUGUGCUGAUUUUGUAAAUUUUGAAUGUGUUUGUUUUAGAUUUUAAGCAUAACAUUAUGGCACAUAUCUUAAUAACUUUUUAUGGUUACAAUAAAAAAAAAAAAAAAAAA